ACGGGGGGGGCAAGCGUUGUUCGGAAUUACUGGGCGUAAAGGGCUCGUAGGCGGCCAACUAAGUCAUACGUGAAAUCCCUCGGCUUAACCGGGGAACUGCGUCUGAUACUGGAUGGCUUGAGUGUGGGAGAGGUGAGUGGAAUUCCCAGUGUAGAGGUGAAAUUCGUAGAUAUUGGGAAGAACACCGGUGGCGAAGGCGGCUCACUGGCUCGUAACUGACGCUCAUGCACGACAGCGUGGGGAUCAAACAGGA
This 253-nucleotide ribosomal RNA is filed under the name uncultured prokaryote. RNAcentral's name for it is "partial 16S ribosomal RNA". It matches the Rfam family "Bacterial small subunit ribosomal RNA", at positions 525 to 777 of the family's 1533-position model. The record is from RNAcentral.